GGCGCUAUGGCGCAAUUGGUUAGCGCGUUCGGCUGUUAACCGAGAGGUUGUAAGUUCGAUCCUUACUAGCGCCG
Molecule: transfer RNA, 74 nt
Filed under: Dactylellina haptotyla CBS 200.50
Lineage: Eukaryota; Fungi; Ascomycota; Orbiliomycetes; Orbiliales; Orbiliaceae
Description: tRNA-Asn (GTT) (tRNA-Asn-GTT-1-1)
Rfam family: tRNA
About the family: Transfer RNA (tRNA) molecules are approximately 80 nucleotides in length. Their secondary structure includes four short double-helical elements and three loops (D, anti-codon, and T loops).
Source: RNAcentral